CACGCUGUAAACGAUGAAUACUAGGUGUCGGGUAGAAAUAUUCGGCGCCGCAGCUAACGCAUUAAGUAUUCCACCUGGGAAGUACNCAACGCGAAGAACCUUACCUAGGCUUGAAACGCAAGAUUUCAGUCCAUGAAAGUGGAUUACCCGCAAGGGGUCUUGUACAGGUGC
This 171-nucleotide ribosomal RNA is filed under the name uncultured bacterium. RNAcentral describes it as "partial 16S ribosomal RNA". It matches the Rfam family "Bacterial small subunit ribosomal RNA", at positions 796 to 992 of the family's 1533-position model. The record is from RNAcentral.